UACGUAGGGUGCAAGCGUUAAUCGGAAUUACUGGGCGUAAAGCGUGCGCAGGCGGUUCGUGAUGUCUGGUGUGAAAGCCCCGGGCUUAACCUGGGAAUUGCAUUGGAAACUAGCGGGCUGGAGUGUGGCAGAGGGGGGUGGAAUUCCACGUGUAGCAGUGAAAUGCGUAGAGAUGUGGAGGAACACCGAUGGCGAAGGCAGCCCCCUGGGCUAACACUGACGCUCGAUGCACGAAAGCGUGGGGAGCAAACAGG
RNAcentral lists this ribosomal RNA (254 nucleotides) under uncultured bacterium. RNAcentral describes it as "partial 16S ribosomal RNA". It matches the Rfam family "Bacterial small subunit ribosomal RNA", at positions 524 to 776 of the family's 1533-position model. The record is from RNAcentral.